Molecule: ribosomal RNA, 484 nt
Filed under: uncultured bacterium
Lineage: Bacteria
Description: partial 16S ribosomal RNA
Rfam family: Bacterial small subunit ribosomal RNA
Source: RNAcentral
GACGAACGCUGGCGGCGUGCUUAACACAUGCAAGUCGAACGAUGAAGCCGGAGCUUGCUCUGGUGAAUUAGUGGCGAACGGGUGAGUAACACGUGAGUAACCUGCCCUUGACUCUGGGCUAACUGCUAGAAAUGGUAGCUAAUACCGGAUACGACCCUCGGCGGCAUCGCCCGGGUGUGGAACGAAUUUCGGUCAAGGAUGGACUCGCGGCCUAUCAGCUAGUUGGUGAGGUAACGGCUCACAAAGGCGACGACGGGUAGCCGGCCUGAGAGGGUGACCGGCCACACUGGGACUGAGACACGGCCCAGACUCCUACGGGAGGCAGCAGUGGGGAAUAUUGCACAAUGGGCGCAAGCCUGAUGCAGCAACGCCGCGUGAGGGAUGACGGCCAUCGGGUUGUGAACCUCUUUUAGUAGGGAAGAAGCGAAAGUGACGGUACCUGCAGAAAAAGCACCGGCUAACUACGUGCCAGCCGCCGCCGUAA